This is a regulatory RNA element of Streptomyces afghaniensis 772, 79 nucleotides long. It matches the Rfam family "6C RNA". NCBI's taxonomy places the organism in Bacteria, Bacillati, Actinomycetota, Actinomycetes, Kitasatosporales, Streptomycetaceae. The record is from Rfam.
ACCCGGCCGACUCCUCCCCCCCGAGUCGGCCGUGGGGACCGACCCCCGCUCCGUCCCCCCCGGGCGGGGGUCGUCGCAU